GACGAACGCUGGCGGCGUGCUUAACACAUGCAAGUCGAACGGUAAGGCCCUUCGGGGUACACGAGUGGCGAACGGGUGAGUAACACGUGGGUGAUCUGCCCUGCACUUCGGGAUAAGCCUGGGAAACUGGGUCUAAUACCGGAUAGGACCACUGCCUGCAUGGGUGGUGGUGGAAAGCUUUUGCGGUGUGGGAUGGGCCCGGGGCCUAUCAGCUUGUUGGUGGGGUGAUGGCCUACCAAGGCGACGACGGGUAGCCGGCCUGGGAGGGUGACCGGCCACACUGGGACUGAGAUACGGCCCAGACUCCUACGGGGGGCAGCAGUGGGGAAUAUUGCACAAUGGGCGCAAGCCUGAUGCAGCGACGCCGCGUGAGGGAUGACGGCCUUCGGGUUGUAAACCUCUUUCAGCACCGACGAAGCGCAAGUGACGGUAGGUGCAGAAGAAGGACCGGCCAACUACGUGCCAGCAGCCGCAGUAA
Molecule: ribosomal RNA, 478 nt
Filed under: uncultured bacterium
Lineage: Bacteria
Description: partial 16S ribosomal RNA
Rfam family: Bacterial small subunit ribosomal RNA
Source: RNAcentral